CUACGGGAUGCUGCAGUGGGGAAUAUUGCACAAUGGGCGCAAGCCUGAUGCAGCCAUGCCGCGUGUAUGAAGAAGGCCUUCGGGUUGUAAAGUACUUUCAGCGGGGAGGAAGGGAGUAAAGUUAAUACCUUUGCUCAUUGACGUUACCCGCAGAAGAAGCACCGGCUAACUCCGUGCCAGCAGCCGCGGUAAUACGGAGGGUGCAAGCGUUAAUCGGAAUUACUGGGCGUAAAGCGCACGCAGGCGGUUUGUUACGUCAGAUGUGAAAUCCCCGGGCUCAACCUGGGAACUGCAUCUGAUACUGGCAAGCUUGAGUCUCGUAGAGGGGGGUAGAAUUCCAGGUGUAGCGGUGAAAUGCGUAGAGAUCUGGAGGAAUACCGGUGGCGAAGGCGGCCCCCUGGACGAAGACUGACGCUCAGGUGCGAAAGCGUGGGGAGCAAACAGGAUUAGAUACCCCUGUAGUC
This 464-nucleotide ribosomal RNA is filed under the name uncultured bacterium. RNAcentral describes it as "partial 16S ribosomal RNA". It matches the Rfam family "Bacterial small subunit ribosomal RNA", at positions 339 to 795 of the family's 1533-position model. The record is from RNAcentral.